AGAGUUUUGAUCCUGGCUCAGAUUGAACGCUGGCGGCGUGCUUAACACAUGCAAGUCGAACGUGAAAGUCCUUCGGGGCGAGUAAAGUGGCGCACGGGUGAGUAACGCGUGGAUAAUCUACCCUUAAGAUGGGGAUAACGGCUGGAAACGGUCGCUAAUACCGAAUACGCUCCCGAUUUUAUCAUUGGGGGGAAAGAUGGCCUCUGCUUGCAAGCUAUCGCUUAAGGAUGAGUCCGCGUCCCAUUAGCUAGUUGGCGGGGUAACGGCCCACCAAGGCAACGAUGGGUAGCCGGUCUGAGAGGAUGACCGGCCACACUGGAACUGGAACACGGUCCAGACUCCUACGGGAGGCAGCAGUGGGGAAUAUUGCGCAAUGGGCGAAAGCCUGACGCAGCGACGCCGCGUGAGGGAUGAAGGUUCUCGGAUCGUAAACCUCUGUCAGGGGGGGAAGAAAC
RNAcentral lists this ribosomal RNA (455 nucleotides) under uncultured bacterium. RNAcentral's name for it is "bacterial SSU rRNA". It matches the Rfam family "Bacterial small subunit ribosomal RNA", at positions 8 to 451 of the family's 1533-position model. The record is from RNAcentral.